GGGGCUAUAGCUCAGCUGGCUAGAGCGCUUGCAUGGCAUGCAAGAGGCCAAGGGUUCAAGUCCCUUUAGCUCCACCA
Molecule: transfer RNA, 77 nt
Filed under: Patescibacteria group bacterium
Lineage: Bacteria
Description: tRNA-Ala
Rfam family: tRNA
About the family: Transfer RNA (tRNA) molecules are approximately 80 nucleotides in length. Their secondary structure includes four short double-helical elements and three loops (D, anti-codon, and T loops). Further hydrogen bonds mediate the characteristic L-shaped molecular structure. tRNAs have two regions of fundamental functional importance: the anti-codon, which is responsible for specific mRNA codon recognition, and the 3' end, to which the tRNAs corresponding amino acid is attached (by aminoacyl-tRNA synthetases). tRNAs cope with the degeneracy of the genetic code in two manners: having more than one tRNA (with a specific anti-codon) for a particular amino acid; and 'wobble' base-pairing, i.e. permitting non-standard base-pairing at the 3rd anti-codon position.
Source: RNAcentral